This 7863-nucleotide long non-coding RNA is filed under the name Sus scrofa (pig). Its description in RNAcentral is "lncRNA (ENSSSCG00030035556.1)". The record is from RNAcentral. Lineage: Eukaryota; Metazoa; Chordata; Mammalia; Artiodactyla; Suidae.
CUUUUUAGGGCUGCAGUCACAGCAUAUGGAGGUUCCCAGUCUAGGGGUCUAAUCAGAGCCACAGCUGCCAGCCACAGCCACAGCAACACCAGAUCUUAGCUGUGUCUGGGACUUAUACUACAGUUCACAGCAACAAGGGGUCCUUAACCCACUGAGCAAGGCCAGGAAUUGAACCUGAAACCUCAUGGAUCCUAGUUGGACUUGUUUCUACUGAACCACAAUGGGAACUCCUAGUUGGAAAUAUUUUAUACAAAAAAGUCUUUCUUAACAACUCUUUGGCUACCUGAAAAUAAAAUUUGUACAAGAAAGGCAGAAUGAAUGUUUUAUUCUCCCUCUUUGUUUACCAAUUGCCACUAAUUUAGCAACUUCCUAGAGCAACUUCUAAGUUAAUUGUAAGUUCUUUCUUUUCUUAGUAUCAGUAUAACUUGUGGAUGUUAACAUCACUGAUGUAAUAAAUGAUUUAGAAUAUGUUCUGUAGGCAAUGGUGAACCAGCAAAGGCCAUCCUCAACGUUCAAACAUAAAGCACAUCUGCAAAUGUAUCUAGAAAUCAAACAAUAAAUUUACUCAUUUUAGGAGGAAUCCUUUCCCACAAAGCUAAAGCAAAAGCAAAAUCUCUAAACACAGCUAAAAUUUUAGCUUGAACAAGGAAAACUUCCAGGAUUCUGUACUUGUUCUCUGAUUCUCUUCUUUCCUUUACUCACUUUGCUGGCCUUCGUCUCAUGAAUGAAUGUCUGGUUGAGGCUAGAGAUGCAGUGCCUCGGGCACACCUAAGGAUUUCAUCUUAUGUAAAUUACAUUUAUAAAAUCUACAUUUCCUGUAACUAGUAUUUGCACUUUCAUUUUUAUAAAAUAAGAGCAAGUAAAUUUUCGAAAUAUAGAACACUGCUCUAAUAAGUUAAAACUAUUGUGUGGAUGAUGGAGAUGAGGCUCAUGAAGCACUGACCAGCAGUGUGAGAGUCCAACAGGAUUGUCAGCAGAUGUACCAAGGCCAGAACUGAAUCUGCAAAAGGAGGGUUGGGUGUUUUGAUAGGGAAUGCAUGAAAUUGUUUGUUUGUUUGUUUGUUUGUUGAAAAAACUUUGUUUCCAUUUGGUCCAAGGCUGGGGAGAGGGCUCCAGGGUGGUUAAAAAGUGACUACUGGCUGCAGGAUGGGGCUUUAGGCAGAAACUCUCACACCAGAGGGGCUCCUCAAAGGCCGCUGGGCUCCAGAGGCUCCUAGUCCUGCUUGAGGGUGAGCCUUUCCAAGAGAUACUCAUCCAGCUCAGCCUGGGGACCAGCCAUCCUGCAGAAGUUGGUCAAGUGGUCUCCGAUCUUUGCCUGCUCCUCUAGGACGUGGCUCUCCAGGAGGUCACAGAGGUGGGGGGUCUGCUCAGGCAGAACCCUGGGCAUGUGGAUCCAAAAGGGCAUGGUUCGGGUUCCCUCCCAGGACCAUGGCAGCUAAACCCCAUAGCAUCCUGGGUUUUACCCCACACAUCCUGAGAUGGCUUCUUUCUGGAAGAGGAUGGAGCUGCCUUGCUGGUUUUGCAUUUUUAAGAGGUGCUUGGUGCCCUUGCACUUCUCCUUGGCCAAUUCUCCAUAAAAAAAAAAAAGUGGUCCACACCCUCUAGAGCUACAUUGUUGCGGAUGAAAUAGCCCAGAGAGAGGCAGGUGUGGGAGGCCCCCUGAUGGAGGUUGACCAGGCGGCUGAGAGUGGCCUCCACCUGGCAAGAAUAAUUCUGAUGCAUCUGGAAGCCCAGAGUUGAUCCAUAAUAAUGAGUUAAGCUCCGAAAAUGAUGUUAGCUGGUCACAGAGGCCAAGGAUAGCUGAGUGACUACCUCUGAAAGUUUCGAUUGGAAAAAAGUUUGGAGGGUGGUCAGAGGCUGGAGGAAGGGGUCUACCUGGGUCUGUUCCAUUGAAACACUGUUGAAGCGAGGGACACCUGUGGGACUGCCGAGCGCACUGCCUGAUGGGGAAUGCAUGAAACUGUUCUCGGCUGUGACAUGCUGGUUUUGCUGUCAGCUUAUCCUUCUAUCUCUACUAGAAGGUUAGUUAGUUAGUUAGUUCCAGGAAGGCAGGAGCCAUACAUGUAUUAUUCAUUUACUCGCAAGCAUCCAGGACCUGUUUGUUUGUUUGUUUUUAAAGAAAGAACAAGUGAUGUAUGCCAAGCAAGAGAAAAAUCUACAGUGGCUUUCAUCAGCAAGAAUUAUAAUUAGCUCUAUUUUUUAGGUGUAUCUGUUGCACAUUUUGAUUCUGGUGUAUUGGUAUUAUAAACCACUUUUUCUUUAAAAAUUAAUUUAUCUGAGACAGAGGUAAUACUUUUCAUUUAGGAGUAUUUUGAAAAGCAAACAAAUUAAAUCAAACUAUCGAUUAUUCUAUUCCUUAAGGUUAACAUUUGGGUGUUUCUUCCUGUAAUUCUCUAUGUACAUAAUGAACGGUAUUGGAAUUAUCUAGGACAUAUUGUUUAGUAACCCCUUUUAAAAGUUUAAAUACGCUGGGAGUUCCCAUUGUGGCUCAUCAGGUUACUAACCCAACUAGUAUCCACGAGGAUGCAAAUUUGAUCCCUGGCCUUGCCCAGUGGGCUAAGUAUCUGUGGUGAGCUGUGGUGCAGUUUGAAGAUGCAGCUCAGAUAUGGCAUUGCUGUGGUUGUGGUGUAGGCCAGCAGCUGCAGCUCUGAUUCGACCUGUAGCCUGGGAACUUCCAUAUGCCACAAGUACAGCCCUAAAAGGAAAAAAAAUAAAUAAAUACAUGGUUAAUUAUUCUCCUGUGUCACCUUCUCCCACAGCAGAAAUUCUUUUGUUUGUUCUUUUAAUUUUUUAUUAUAGUCAGUUUACAAUGUUGUGCCAAUUUCUGCUGUACAGUAAAGUAACUAAGCCAUACAUAUAUUUACAUUCUUUUUAAAAUAUUCUUUCCAUCAUAGUCUAUCCCAGGAGAUUCGACACAGUUUCCCUUGCUAUACAGUAGGACCUUAUUGUCCAUCCAUUCUAAAUGUAAUAGUUUGCAUCUACUAACCCCAAACUCCCUCCCCAUUCCACUCCCUCCUCCCUCUCCCUUGGCAACCACAAGUCUGUUCUCCAUGUCUGUGAGUCUUUCUGUUUUCUAGAUAGGUUCAUGUGGUGCCACAUUUUAGAUUGCACAUGUAAGUGAUACCAUAUGGUAUCUGUCUUUCUCCUUUGAACUUACUUCAAUUAGUAUGAGAAUCUCUAGUUGCAUUCUAAAAAUUUUAAGAAGCAGUAAUUCUGAUCUGAAUUGUGCUUAUUAAUACAAGCAGGCUAUUCCAUGGCACACACAGGUUCAAGAUGGGAGAUUAAGUUCAACAGCCAUUCAUUUAGAUUUGGUUUGAUUUUCUGCCAGUCUUAUGACUGACUUAAAACAGGUCCUAGGACAGAGAAUUUUUUGUUUGGUCGAGGGAAGCAGCAAAAUAGAGGAGCCACCCCAAAUUCCAGAUGAACAGAUAGAGUCAACAUUCUCUUUACACCAAAGUUACCCAUUUACUGCAGCAAAAUUUGAACCAAAAUGUUUAAAAUGCCACCUAAGUUAGGUCAAACAUCCUCUGUGGAAAGUAACCUGUUAGUAUAGAAAGGAAUGGAAAUGGUAAAGCUGAAAAGAAGCUGAAAACAAAAGACCUAUCAAUAGAUACAUUUUGCUUCCAAGACUCUACACUGCGUACAUGUCCUUAUUCAUCAUCCUCAGAAGAUGAAUUGAAGCUGAUUCAGUGUCACUUGCUUCUGCAGUAGUUUCCCAGGCAUCUUAGCUAGGAGACACCCUGCCCCCAGGGUAUUGAGGGCAAAUAAAUAUUUCAAGCCGACUGACAAUAGGAAAGAAUUGUAGGACAAGAAACUACCUGCAAUCCCUAGGUGGGAGUAUCCUGGAAAGUGACGUGCUGAAAUACCGACCCUUCCAGCUGGUUAACUCUGAGAUUCAAGCAUUUGCUUUAGUGAUAUGCACUCAUCAAGGGAAUAUAUAACAGCUUAAGGAUUCAAGGAUUUCACCUGCAGAAUUGGAAGAGAUUCAAAGUGAGUGCCAGGCAUUACUGACUUUAAAAAGCUUAAGGAAAGAACAAUGCUUAGGCCUUUUGAGUCAUUAGGUGUAGUAUAUAUGUGUUGUUUUUUGACCAUUGGUAUUCAUUUCCUAUUUUGGUGACAGUGACCCAUUUUUUUUUUUUUUUCUUCUGGGGAACCACUCCUACAGGUGAACCAGAGGUGAAGCAUCCAACUCAUAUUUGGCCAGUGACAGCAAAGAAUGUUCCUAGUUCAGUAAUGCAUUAAGGGAUGGGCAGGUAACCGUGUUGGUUCAGUUAAUGAAUCCAGGACUACUGGGAAGGAUCUCUUUCUUGCUGGACUGGGACUGGAUUGGAUGUACACUUGAGGUUGUUGAGAACCGUAUUGCUAUCACAUGAAGUCUGAGUAUAAAGCUGAUAAGAAGAGCUGAGCCUUCUCCCCCCCUCAACCCCCACAAAAGGCUCUCUCUUUUAUUUGUCUGACCUGAAGUAGGCAUGAAAGGCAAUGCACUGAAAAUUCUAAUUCGACCCUUAUUUUUGUAGGAUGACUACAAGUGUCUAAAUUAAGUAUUUAUAAGGAAGUUGAUGCUUCAUGAUAACAGCAACAAGGUCUACAUUUGAAUAAUUUAUUAUAUGAGCAUUGUAAAAGUUCUUCUAUGGCACUGUAGAGUAAAUAAAAUAAAUCUUUUCUCAAGAAAUGUAUAAUCUACUUAGACAAGACCAGCAUUAAAAAACAAAACCUUUUAGGAGUUCUUGCUAUGGCACAACAAGAUCAGUGCUGUCUCUGUAGCACUGGGAUGUAAGUUCAAUCCCCAGCCCAGCACAGUGGGUUAAGGAUCAGGCACUGGUGUAGCUGCGGCAUAGGUCACAACUGUGGCUCAGACCUGAUUGCUGGUCCAGGAACUCCAUAUGCUGUGGGGUGGCCAAAAACAAACAACCAAAAAGAAAAACCCUUUAGACUGCAAGUGAAUUGCAGACAGUAAUGCAUGUAAAUAUUCUGAAUGGCAAUAUAAAGUACAAACAAAACUAGAACAAAGCAUGAGAAAGAAGCUUUAGACUAAACUCCAAGUAUUUCCAUUUAAUUCACAAGGCAUUGAUCUUUGUAUCCUAGUCUUUUUUUUUUUUUUUUUUUUUUGUCUUUUUAGGGCCGCACCUGAGGCAUAUGGUGGUUCCCAGGCUAGGGGUCUAAUUGGAGCUGUAGCCUUCAGCCUUCGCCACAGCCACAACAACUCAAGAUCCAAGCCAAGUCUGCAACCAAUACCAAAGAUCACAGCAACACUGGAGACUUAACCCACUGAGCAAGGCCAGGGAUUGAACCUGCCUCCUCAUGGAUGCUAGUCAGAUUCGUUUCCACUGAGUCACAACAGGAACUCCUGUAUCGUAGUAUUUAAGUGGAUUCCUAGAAUUGUAUUUCCUACAUGGAUGCUUCCUGUGAAUUACUGACUUGAAUAGUCAAUUGCCUAUUUGAUAUAUCCAUUUAUCAAAUUCAAAAGACAUCACAAAUUUAUCUUGUCCAAAAAGCCUUCUGCUCCAAACUUGUUUGUAGACACUGCCUUCCACAUUUCAGUAGAUGGCAACCCCAUCCUUCCAGUUGCUCAGAUCUAAAACUUUAAGCAGUAUCUCUUUUCUUAUACCUGUAAGAAAAUCUUACUGGCUCUAUGUUCAAAAUUUAUUUGGAAUUUAACAACUUCUUACCACCUCCACUACUAUCUAAAUUAUUACAAUACUGGUCUUCCUUAUCUUCUACCUCCUAAAAUCUAUUUACAAACCAGCAGCUGAAGCAGUCUUCUCAUUUUAUUGGGAAAAAUCUAAAACAUAUAGAAAAAUUGAAAGAUUUUACAGUGAUCCGUCUGUAUACUCACUACCUAGAAUCUACCAUUUCUAAGAUAACAAAUCUUAUAGCUCCUCUGCUCAAAAUGCCUCAAUGCCUUGCCUCAUUCAAAGAAGAAAAGCCAGGAGUUCCUGUUGUGGCUCAGCAGAAAUGAAUCUGACUAGUAACUGUGAGGUUGCAGGUUCAAUCCUUGGCCUCACUCAGUGGGUUAAGGUUCUGGCAUUGCCAUGAACUAUGGUGUAGGUCAUAGAUGCAGCUCAGAUCCUGCCUUGGCAUAGGCUGGCAGGUAUAGCUCUGAUUUGACCCCUAGCCUGGGAGCCUCCAUAAGAGAGAGAGAAGAAAAGCCAAUUUCUUACCAUGGUCUCCAAGACCCAGCAUGCUCUGGUCCCUACAACCAUCCUUCCCUCUCGUCCAUUACUUUUCAGUCAUACUGGCCUCCUAAUGAGGCCAUCAAAUGCAGCGAGUAUUCUUGCUUUAGGACUUUUGCACCUGCUUUCUCUUCACUUGGGAUUCUCUUCACCUUCCACCACAAAUUUGCAUGGCUUGCCUCUUUCUUUGGAUCACCUUAUCAGAGGUUUUCUCUAACUCUUCCAAGUAUUAAAUUGAACAAUGUAACUCUAAUGUCAUCCUACCAGGCUGUAAACCAUAAACUUAAUAUCAUUCUGAGGUUUUAAAAAUAUAUAUAAAAGAUCAGUAAUUUCACAUGGUUCAAGCUAAUGAAUGAGCAGAAGCACCCUACCAUUUUAUUUUUACCUGAUUUCCAAUAUGCAUAAUAGCACUUCUCACCAUCUUAUGUACUGUUUGUAUAUUGUCUGUAAGAUCUCAAAGGGGAGUUCUCUUGUGGCACAGCGGGUUAAGGAUCCAGCAUUAUCACUGCUAUGGCUUGGGUCAUUGUUGCGGCUCAGGUUCCAUCCCUGGCUUGGGACCUUCCACAUGCCAUGGGCAUGGCCAAACCCCCCUCCCCGCAAAAAACAAAAACAACUCCUCAGAGAGAAAGAGUCCAUAUUUUGUCCACUGCUGUGUAUUCAGUGUAAAACAAGUACUUUGCCCAUGGUUGGCACUCAUUUAUUUAGAAAAUGAAUUCUUUUGGAGUUCCCAUUGUGGUGCAGUGGUUAACGAAUCUGACUAGGAACCAUGAGGUUGCAGGUUCUAUCCCUGGCCUUGCUCAGUGGGUUAAGGAUCCGGUGUUGCCAUGAGCUGUGGUGUAGGUUGCAGACGUGGCUCAGAUCCUGCAUUGCUGUGGCUCUAGUGUAGGCAGGUGGCUACAGCUCCAAUUCGACCCCUCGCCUGGGAAUCUCCAUAUGCCGCAGGAGCGGCCCUAGAAAAGUCAAAAAGCCAAAAAAAAAAAAAAAAAAAAAAAAAGAAAGAAAGAAAGAAAGAAAGAAAAGAAAAUGAGAUGAGUUCUUUUUUCUUUUUUGGAUUUACCUGAGUUAUACAGAAGUUCCUGGGCUGGGGAUCCUGGUGCCAGAUCCUUAACUGCUGAGCCACCAGGGAACUCCUAAAGAUUGAUUUCUUUACACUUAUGUCAGAGUGAGCCUUUAAAAACAGAGUCUGGGGAGUUCCUGCUGUGGCACAGCGGGUUACAAACCUGACUAGUAUCCAUGAGGUUGCAGGAUCAAUCCCUGGCCUCACACAGUGGGUUAAGGAUCUGGUAUUACCAUAAGCUGUGGCGUAGGUUGAAGACACAGCUUGGAUCCCACAUUGCUGCGGCUAUGCUGUAGGCUGGCAGCUGCAGCUUCGAUUCAACCCCUAGCCUGGGAACUUCAUAUGUCGAAGGUGCAGCCAUAAAAUACAAAAACAAAACAAAAACAAAAACAACAACAACAACAACAAAAAUAGAAUCUGAUCAUGUCACUCCUACUACAAACCCUUCAAUUCAUUUGUAUUGCUUUCAAAAGAUAAGAAUUCUUACUAAUAGGGAUCCUGCUGUGGUGCAGUGAGUUAAAGAUUGGUCAUUGUCACUACAGUAGCUCAGGUUUCUGCUGUGGUGCAGGCUUGAUCCCUGGCCUAGGAACUUCCGCAUGCUGAGAAUGUGGCAAAAAAAAAAAAAAAAAAAAA